CGAUGGCUUGCACGUUCACUUUCUCAAUUCCUAGGGUUUCUGUUCAUCCUCUUGAGGUUUCAUAUACAUAAUCUUUAUGUUGCAGAGAAAUUUCAAGUUUUUAAUCCUGGAAAAGGAACGGUAUUGUAAUCUGGGACAAGAAACGAUACUGGAAGUGAAAAAACUAGGUCAUGAUGGUUGAUUUGGGCAUUUAACUUGCAAGGGUAGUGACCAGCCUGGAUGGGUAUGGUCCAUUUCUUUUGGUAUGGCUGGUCACUGGGUCAUUUGGGCUUCUAGCCAUCAUCUUUGCAUUUCUUAAAUGGCAGAAAAGGACAUCUCUAAAUUGGGUUAAAGCUGCAGCUAGAGCAAAGAAAGAAGUCUGAAAAAGCUAAAAGUUCCUUUAUCACAUCAUACGUGGAUGGAAGAUAUGACUAACGGUGAACAGCCAUCCACUUCUUGUGUUUGCUUGACUUCCUUGGUGUUUCUUCAUAACCAAGGAACAAAAGCCUCUUAUCGCACUCCUGUUCAUCAUUGCUCUGUUUGUGGUGUAGCAGCUCAUUUCUAUUGUUCUCAGUACGCAGUAAGGGAUUGCAAGUGUGUGGCACGAGCUGGUUUUACCCAUGUCCGACACCACUGGUCCGAAAGAUGGGUUAAUGUGCAUGAUAAUCCGGAGAUCUCGGCCUUCUGUUUUUAUUGUGAGGAGCCAUGUAGUGUUCCUCUCCUUGAUGCUUCUCCUACAUGGCAUUGCCUAUGGUGUCAGCGCCUCAUACAUGUCAGAUGUCACAACAAAAUGGCAAAAGAAUGUGGUGAUGCUUGCGAUUUUUGUACUCUUAGCAGAAUUAUUAUUUCUCCUUUGUGUGUGAAAGAAGUUGGCCACUAUAAUGGAGGUUACUGUGAGAAUAGCAAUAUUGAACAGAAUUUUAACAGGGAGAAGCAGAGAAUCUUAGGAGAAGAAUUGAUGUAUUCAUUCAUUGAUUUAUCAACACAGUACAGUGAUGGUUUUUAUACUA
This is a long non-coding RNA of Prunus dulcis (almond), 989 nucleotides long. RefSeq lists it as uncharacterized. The transcript has 2 exons. Lineage: Eukaryota; Viridiplantae; Streptophyta; Magnoliopsida; Rosales; Rosaceae. The record is from RefSeq and is a predicted model, not a curated record.